CCAGUGCUGCCUCUACUACCAUUAUCUGCCCAGGACCAGAAAAUGGAUAAUCCAGAGAAUGUGGGCCAUAUGGUAGGGAAGGAGUUUGGGAUGUUCUUUGCUCAUGCCACGGCCUUUGUCCUCCUAUUCUUACAGUGUGGAACUCCAGAGUAUAUUGAUCAGCCUCAUCAGAGAUACGAAGAGGCAAUGGAUAGUUAACUGCAGAGUCAUGCUGUUUUCUCCCAUUGCCGAGGCACAGCUGAGAGGAGUUUCGAUGUUCCAAUGCUGGCAAGAUUUAAGUUGAAGGCUGCGGCUACGAGCUUGUGGGCUGAUUCGCAAUGCGUUCCAGUUUGAUCAAAUUCUCCAAAAGUUGCAUUGAUGAGCCAAUGCAUUGCUGAGUGAAUCUUUUUGUAAUUUUCUGUUGCUUAGGUCUACUUACUGAAUCAGUGAAUCUUAUUGAUUCAUGUUGCUCAUGACUUCCUUGUAAAAAAUUAACAUAC
This is a non-coding RNA of Triticum urartu, 479 nucleotides long. Lineage: Eukaryota; Viridiplantae; Streptophyta; Magnoliopsida; Poales; Poaceae. The record is from RefSeq and is a predicted model, not a curated record.